UACGUAGGGUGCGAGCGUUGUCCGGAAUUAUUGGGCGCAAAGAGCUUGUAGGCGGUCUGUCGCGUCUGCUGUGAAAAUCCGGGGCUCAACCCCGGACUUGCAGUGGGUACGGGCAGACUAGAGUGUGGUAGGGGAGACUGGAAUUCCUGGUGUAGCGGUGAAAUGCGCAGAUAUCAGGAGGAACACCGAUGGCGAAGGCAGGUCUCUGGGCCACUACUGACGCUGAGAAGCGAAAGCAUGGGGAGCGAACAGG
Molecule: ribosomal RNA, 253 nt
Filed under: uncultured bacterium
Lineage: Bacteria
Description: partial 16S ribosomal RNA
Rfam family: Bacterial small subunit ribosomal RNA
Source: RNAcentral